Molecule: ribosomal RNA, 495 nt
Filed under: uncultured bacterium
Lineage: Bacteria
Description: partial 16S ribosomal RNA
Rfam family: Bacterial small subunit ribosomal RNA
Source: RNAcentral
AUGAACGCUGGCGGCGUGCCUAAUACAUGCAAGUCGAGCGAACAGACGAGGAGCUUGCUCCUCUGACGUUAGCGGCGGCCGGGUGAGUAACACGUGGAUAACCUACCUAUAAGACUGGAUAACUUCGGGAAACCGGAGCUAAUACCGGAUAAUAUAUUGAACCGCAUGGUUCAAUAGUGAAAGACGGUUUUGCUGUCACUUAUAGAUGGAUCCGCGCCGCAUUAGCUAGUUGGUAAGGUAACGGCUUACCAAGGCAACGAUGCGUAGCCGACCUGAGAGGGUGGUCGGCCACACUGGAACUGAGACACGGUCCAGACUCCUACGGGAGGCAGCAGUAGGGAAUCUUCCGCAAUGGGCGAAAGCCUGACGGAGCAACGCCGCGUGAGUGAUGAAGGUCUUCGGAUCGUAAAACUCUGUUAUUAGGGAAGAACAAAUGUGUAAGUAACUAUGCACGUCUUGACGGUACCUAAUCAGAAAGCCACGGCUAACUACGUG